RNAcentral lists this long non-coding RNA (760 nucleotides) under Homo sapiens (human). RNAcentral's name for it is "non-protein coding lnc-S1PR3-1:1". The record is from RNAcentral. Lineage: Eukaryota; Metazoa; Chordata; Mammalia; Primates; Hominidae.
UUAUCCAGGAGAGAAUUAAGUAAGAGUCUGGUACCUUUUUAAGUCUGAUGAGAAACAUUGGCUGGGCACAGUGGCUCACGCCUGUAAUCCCAGCACUUUGGGAGGCCAAGGCAGGCGGACCACCUGAGGUCAGGAGUUCGAGACCAGCCUGGCCAACAUGGUGAAACCUCAUCUCUACUAAAAAUACACACACACACCCCAAAUUAGCUGGGCGUGGUGGUGCAUGCCUGUAAUCCAGCUGCUCAGGAGGCUGAGGCAGAAGAAUGGCUUGAACCCAGGAGGUGGAGGUUGCAGUGAGCUGAGAUUGCGCCACUGUACUCUAGCCUGGGUGACAAGAGUGAAACUACAUCUCAAAAAAAAAAAAAAAAAAAACAAGAAAAGAAAAAGAAACAUCUACACAUAAUGAAAAUGUCCCUCUGGCAAAGUUAUGACUCAGCACAUAUAUCCAGGGGUCACUCUGUCAGUCCACAGAAAAUAGGCGACCCAGUGGUGAGCAUGUUACUUUUGAAAAGUGUCUUUUGUGUCCAGAGAUACACAAAAAGCCAAUACAUGCAUGAAAAGUUCCUCAACAUCGUUAGUCAUCAGGAAAAUGCAUAUCAAAACCACAACCAGAGACCACUUCAUGCCCACUAGGGUAGCUAUAAUCAAAGAGAUGGACAAGAAAAAGUGUUGAUAAGAACGUGGGGAUAUUAGAACCCUCACACAUUGCUCAUGGGACUGUAAAAUGGUGCAGCCACUUUAGAAAAUAGCUUUGCAGUUU